Molecule: small RNA, 802 nt
Filed under: Histoplasma capsulatum
Lineage: Eukaryota; Fungi; Ascomycota; Eurotiomycetes; Onygenales; Ajellomycetaceae
Also listed under: 1 other name
Description: hypothetical RNA
Source: RNAcentral
ACCUGCUACACGGGGGAAACUGUGCGCUGCGGAUUACGGGAGCAGACAUGGAGUCCCAGGCUGUUUGUCCAAGCGCGCCAGCCGUUGUGGCGUGGAAGAUAAGAUAGUCCAUGCCCAUGCCCGUUGUUGGCUUUGCGUGAACGAGAACAGAAGAAGCAUUAGUAUCACCAACUCCGAGUCUCCUCCUUCGAAAAAGAAAGAAGCAGAUUGGAACAACAAUUUAACUUCUUUUUCUUUUUCUUUUCUUUUUAUUUCGUGCAUUUCUUCUUUUCUUCGUCCUCGACUCACCACGCCAAUACCCGUCUCAGAUUUCGAACCGGCAAGGGUUCGACGUUGUAGAUCCAAGAUUUUUUCUCUUCUCUUCUUUUUUUGGAGAUUUUUUUUCUUUUUAUUGUUCCGUUUGGUGUUUAAAGAGUUGAAUUGGAAUACCAUGGAUCAUCCCCAAAGCCAAAUGUUGGUUCGAGAAGGUUUGAUAGGAAAAAUAUAACUACCAUCUUGCAACAUUCCGAACCUCUAUCUGAUCACAGGUAGGCAGGAAGAUCGAAUUGUGUUCAUAUUUCAUGUUCCCGCCUGCUUGCCAAUGUUGACCAUUUCAGAGAGAUAUAUAUCAUAACGUUCUAGGAAUGAAUUGUAGAUUAUCAUUCGGUUUAUUGUUAAAGGUACUCUGGAGGCCUGUGAUAUUGUAGUUCCUCCUCGCCCUCCUCCUCCUCCUCCUCUUCCUCUUCGUCUUCCUCUUACUUCUCCUCUCUUCCCUCCUCUGGAGACAUCGAUUGCUCCGGACCUCGGUGAUGACGUAGCUCGA